UACCAGCUCCGCGAGUGGUCGGGGUGAUUACUGGGCCUAAAGCGCCUGUAGCCGGCCCACCAAGUCGCCCCUUAAAGUCCCCGGCUCAACCGGGGAACUGGGGGCGAUACUGGUGGGCUAGGGGGCGGGAGAGGCGGGGGGUACUCCCGGAGUAGGGGCGAAAUCCUUAGAUACCGGGAGGACCACCAGUGGCGGAAGCGCCCCGCUAGAACGCGCCCGACGGUGAGAGGCGAAAGCUGGGGGAGCAAAGGGG
This 253-nucleotide ribosomal RNA is filed under the name uncultured Sulfolobus sp. Its description in RNAcentral is "partial 16S ribosomal RNA". It matches the Rfam family "Archaeal small subunit ribosomal RNA", at positions 474 to 727 of the family's 1478-position model. The record is from RNAcentral. Lineage: Archaea; Thermoproteati; Thermoproteota; Thermoprotei; Sulfolobales; Sulfolobaceae.